RNAcentral lists this ribosomal RNA (1474 nucleotides) under metagenome. RNAcentral's name for it is "bacterial LSU rRNA". It matches the Rfam family "Bacterial large subunit ribosomal RNA", at positions 1457 to 2925 of the family's 2925-position model. The record is from RNAcentral.
CCUAGUGAUGGGGGGACGGCGUGUCAAUGGUGAGCGGUACGACUAGAAACGUCCGCAGUGGUUGGGUCGGUGUGGGAUAGGCAAAUCCGCCCACAUAAGCCGGUCCUUCAACUCGAUCGCAUUUAUGUUCGAGUAGUCAUCGGAGACACGUCCAAGAAAAGCCUCUAAACGUUGAAGCGGAUUGACCGUACUAAAACUGACACAGGUAGGUGAGACGAGUAGUCUAAGGCGCUCGGGAGAACUCUGGUUAAGGAACUCUGCAUAUUGACUCCGUAACUUCGGGAUAAGGAGUGCCUUCUAGGGUGUUAAAGCCUCUGAGGGCCACAGUAAAUCGAUUCCAGCGACUGUUUAUCAAAAACACAGGACUCUGCCAACUCGCAAGAGGAUGUAUAGAGUCUGACGCUUGCCCGGUGUCGGUAGGUUAAGGAAGGAGGUUAGCCGUAAGGCGAAGCUUGCGACCGAAGCCCCGAUAAACGGCGGCCGUAACUAUGACGGUCCUAAGGUAGCGAAGUUCCUUGUCGGGUAAGUUCCGACCUGCAUGAAUAGCGUAACGACUGGAAUACUGUCUCAACCAGAGACCCGGUGAAAUUGUAGCCGAGGUGAAGAUGCCUCGUACCCGCACUGAGACGGAAAGACCCCGUGAACCUUUACUGUAGGCUGAUAUUGGGCUGAGACACACUUUGUGUAGGAUAGGUGGGAGGCUGUGAUCCAGGCACGCAAGUGUUUGGGGAGCCGUCGUUGAAAUACCACCCUGGGUAUGUUUUAGUUCUAACCUCGAUUCCCGUGAAACCGGGCGGGGAACAGUGUCAGUUGGGCAGUUUGACUGGGGCGGUCUCCUCCAAAAGAGUAACGGAGGAUUUCAAAGGUACCCUCAGCCUGGUUGGCAAUCAGGCAUUGAGCGCAUUGGUAGAAGGGUGCUUAACUGCGAGACCGAUGGGUCGAGCAGACACGAAAGUGGGACAAAGUGAUCCGGUGAUCCCGUAUGGAAGGGUCAUCGCUCAUCAGACAAAAGGUACUCUGGGGAUAACAGGCUUAUCGCUCCCGAGCGUCCAUAGCGGCGGAGCGGUUUGGCACCUCGAUGUCGGCUCAUCACAUCCUGGGGGUGAAGAAGCUCCCAAGGGUUCGGCUGUUCGCCGAUGAAAGUGGUACGUGAGCUGGGUUCAGACCGUCGUGAGACAGGUCGGUCCCUAUCUGGUGUGGGCGCACGAAACUUGAGGAGGCUCAUCUUUAGUACGAGAGGAUUUGGAUGGACAUACCUCUGGUGUCCCAGUUGUCACGCUAGUGGCACGGCUGGAUAGCUAAGUAUGGAAAGGAUAAACGCUGAAAGCAUAUAAGCGUGAAGCCCGCUCCAAGAUUAGGUUUCGUAGAGCAUUGCUCGAAAGUCCGCAGGGAGACCACCUGCUUGAUAGGCUAGAUGUAUAAGUGGGGUUAACUCACUCAGCUAACUAGUACUAACGGACGAAUGCUUGGCCAC